RNAcentral lists this long non-coding RNA (209 nucleotides) under Elaeis guineensis (African oil palm). RNAcentral's name for it is "long non-coding RNA (EGUI_LNC015292)". Lineage: Eukaryota; Viridiplantae; Streptophyta; Magnoliopsida; Arecales; Arecaceae. The record is from RNAcentral.
GGCUGGGUUUAAGGCCUACAUGGGCCAGGUACUACAUUCUUCCCCCCUAAAAUAAAUUUCGUCCUCGAAAUUUUUCUUACUUAAGUCCUCAAAAAUUCAGAUUACUUUUACGUUAAAUCAUAUCAUCCUCUAAUUUCAAAAUCAUAUCUUUCAUCAUAAUAUCUAUCAAAUCAAAUUACUGUUUCGAUCAGUUUGAGAACAAUUCAGAC